GUAUGUAUGUAUGUAUGUGGGUAUGCCUCUAUUAGUCAACAUGACUAUAAAACCUGGGAGCAACUGCUGUGCACAAGGUUGAAGCUAAAGGAGUGUGUGUGUGUGCGUGUGUGUGUGUGUGUGUGUGUGUGUGUGUGUGUGUGUGUGUGUGUUUGUGUGUGGUUGAAGCUAAAGGAGUGAAGCUAAAGGAGACAAGUUCUUCAGGACUCCUUCAGAAAACCAGAAUGUUUGAGAUACAAGUCCCUCCCACAUCGAACAUAACAUUACUUUUGAAUGUAACAUUGAUGUAAUAAAUUAGUUGCUAUGCCUGCUUAGUUAGUGUGAGGUGACCAACAGCUAGCUAGCCAGCUCUGUUUUAGAGUAAGAGGGAGAGAGAGACUCCAGCCCUAACUGAAGUUACAGAUCUGAAUAGCAUGUAAACAACUGUUGGAUUAGCGAGAAAGGGACUAUCAUAUUUCAUAUAUCAUAUAUCAUAUACAUGGAUUAGCAAAAAAGGGACUAUCAUAAGUGUAAGGAGAGGGAGAAAGGGACUAUCAUGUAAGGAGAGAGAGCUAUGAGUUUUUUUAGCAGAACCAGUGGAAGUUUGUUCAUAAAAGUAACUUUUUUGUCUUGUUGUAUUUUAUAGGAAGUGGUAUUUUGUCUUCACAACUCUGAAGCAAAUUGCAGGCGCUCUGAACUGGAGCAAGGGUACUUUUUAUUGCAUGCUGGAUAUAAGUAAAUAAAUACAUUAUCUGGUUUAUUUACUGUUUGUUUUCACAGACUGCACUCACAUCACAAUCAGGCAGUCACUUCUUAUUUACACUUACAUUUACAUUUAGUCAUUUAGCAGACGCUUUUAUCCAAAGCGACUUACAUAUGUGCGACUUACGAUGUAUACACAUUUUACAUUUACACUGAUGGCACACUGCACAUCAGGAGCAAUUAGGGGUUCAGUGCCUUGCUCAAGGACACUUUGACAGGGAAUCGAACUAGCAACCUUCUGAUUACUAAACGACUUCUUUACCUCCUGUACCACUGUCGCCCAG
Clupea harengus (Atlantic herring) is the source of this 1025-nucleotide long non-coding RNA. NCBI's taxonomy places the organism in Eukaryota, Metazoa, Chordata, Actinopteri, Clupeiformes, Clupeidae. The record is from Ensembl.